RNAcentral lists this unclassified non-coding RNA (520 nucleotides) under uncultured Glomus. RNAcentral's name for it is "SSU rRNA". It matches the Rfam family "Eukaryotic small subunit ribosomal RNA", at positions 569 to 1091 of the family's 1831-position model. The record is from RNAcentral. Lineage: Eukaryota; Fungi; Glomeromycota; Glomeromycetes; Glomerales; Glomeraceae.
AGCAGCCGCGGUAAUUCCAGCUCCAAUAGCGUAUAUUAAAGUUGUUGCAGUUAAAAAGCUCGUAGUUGAAUUUCGAGAUCAAAUUGUUGGUCGUGCCUUGGUACGCACUGGCAUUAUUGGUUUCUCCCUUCUGACGAACCAUGAUGUCAUUAACUUGGUGUCUUGGGGAAUCAGGACUGUUACUUUGAAAAAAUUAGAGUGUUUAAAGCAGGCUCACGCUUGAAUACAUUAGCAUGGAAUAAUGAAAUAGGACGUUUGAUUCUAUUUUGUUGGUUUCUAGGAUCGACGUAAUGAUUAAUAGGGAUAGUUGGGGGCAUUAGUAUUCAAUUGUCAGAGGUGAAAUUCUUGGAUUUAUUGAAGACUAACUACUGCGAAAGCAUUUGCCAAGGAUGUUUUCAUUAAUCAAGAACGAAAGUUAGGGGAUCGAAGACGAUCAGAUACCGUCGUAGUCUUAACCAUAAACUAUGCCGACUAGGGAUCGGAUGAUGUUAAUUUUUUAAUGACUCAUUCGGCGCCUUAC